CACGUAGGGGCAAGCGUUGUCCGGAUUUAUUGGGCGUAAAGAGCUCGUAGGUGGUUCGAUAAGUCGGGUGUGAAACCUCCAGGCUCAACCUGGAGACGCCACCCGAUACUGUCGUGACUAGAGUCCAGUAGGGAGCGUGGAAUUCCUGGUGUAGCGGUGAAAUGCGCAGAUAUCAGGAGGAACACCAGCGGCGAAGGCGGCGCCUCUGGGCUGGCACUGACACUGAGGAGCGAAAGCGUGGGGAGCGAACAGG
RNAcentral lists this ribosomal RNA (253 nucleotides) under uncultured bacterium. RNAcentral's name for it is "partial 16S ribosomal RNA". It matches the Rfam family "Bacterial small subunit ribosomal RNA", at positions 524 to 776 of the family's 1533-position model. The record is from RNAcentral.